GACGAACGCUGGCGGCGUGCUUAACACAUGCAAGUCGAACGGAAAGGCCCUGCUUUUGUGGGGUGCUCGAGUGGCGAACGGGUGAGUAACACGUGAGUAACCUGCCCUUGACUUUGGGAUAACUUCUGGAAACUGGGGCUCAUACCGGAUAGGAGCUCCUGCUGCAUGGUGGGGGUUGGAAAGUUUCGGCGGUUGGGGAUGGACUCGCUGCUUCUCAGCUUGUUGGUGGGGUAGUGGCUUACCAAGGCUUUGACGGGUAGCCGGCCUGAGAGGGUGACCGGCCACAUUGGGACUGAGAUACGGCCCAGACUCGUACGGGAGGCAGCAGUGGGGAAUAUGGCACAAUGGGCGGAAGCCUGAUGCAGCAGCGCCGCGUGCGGGAUGACGGCCUUCGGGUUGUAAACCGCUUUCGCCUGUGACGAAGCGUGAGUGACGGUAAUGGGUAAAGAAGCACCGGCUAACUACGUG
Molecule: ribosomal RNA, 468 nt
Filed under: uncultured bacterium
Lineage: Bacteria
Description: partial 16S ribosomal RNA
Rfam family: Bacterial small subunit ribosomal RNA
Source: RNAcentral